UACGAAGGACCCGAGCGUUAUCCGGAUUCAUUGGGUUUAAAGGGUGCGUAGGCGGAACGAUAAGUCAGUGGUGAAAGCCUGCAGCUUAACUGCAGAAUUGCCAUUGAUACUGUCGAUCUUGAGUACAUUUGAUGUGGGCGGAAUGUGCCAUGUAGCGGUGAAAUGCUUAGAUAUGGCACAGAACACCGAUCGCGAAGGCAGCUCACAAAACUGUAACUGACGCUGAGGCACGAAAGCGUGGGGAUCAAACAGG
Molecule: ribosomal RNA, 253 nt
Filed under: uncultured bacterium
Lineage: Bacteria
Description: partial 16S ribosomal RNA
Rfam family: Bacterial small subunit ribosomal RNA
Source: RNAcentral